GGGUCCAUCGUCUAUCGGUUAGGACACCACCCUGUCACGGUGGAGAGAGGGGUUCAACUCCCCUUGGACUCGCCA
Molecule: transfer RNA, 75 nt
Filed under: Brevundimonas phage vB_BpoS-Bambus
Lineage: Duplodnaviria; Heunggongvirae; Uroviricota; Caudoviricetes
Also listed under: 4 other names
Description: tRNA-Asp
Rfam family: tRNA
About the family: Transfer RNA (tRNA) molecules are approximately 80 nucleotides in length. Their secondary structure includes four short double-helical elements and three loops (D, anti-codon, and T loops).
Source: RNAcentral